UACGUAGGGGGCAAGCGUUGUCCGGAUUUAUUGGGCGUAAAGAGCGUGUAGGCGGCCAGGUAGGUCCGUUGUGAAAACUCGAGGCUCAACCUCGAGACGUCGGCGGAAACCCUCUGGCUAGAGUCCGGAAGAGGAGAGUGGAAUUCCUGGUGUAGCGGUGAAAUGCGCAGAUAUCAGGAAGAACACCAGUGGCGAAGGCGGCUCUCUGGGACGGUACUGACGCUGAGACGCGAAAGCGUGGGGAGCAAACGGG
Molecule: ribosomal RNA, 253 nt
Filed under: uncultured bacterium
Lineage: Bacteria
Description: partial 16S ribosomal RNA
Rfam family: Bacterial small subunit ribosomal RNA
Source: RNAcentral